AAAAAAAAAAACAGUUCAAAUGUUAAUCCUUAAUAAAGCUUGGUUAUGUGCGUGUGGAGAGAAGGCAUGGGUAGAUGUGGAUCACUGGCACAUAACAGUGAGCUACCCUGGGAACCUGAUAUUUACCAGAGAAGCAAGUACACACCCCCAGUAAAAGAUCAUGACUGCAGUGUGAUUCAUUGUUGCCAACAUCUGGAAACAAACCAAAUAUCCAUGAAUGAACAAGACAGGCUAAAUAGUUCCUGAUUCCAUUUAUCUGAGGUGUAGAAAGAGGCAAAUUCAUCCCUGGCAGUAAAAGUGAGGUAUCUGGUAUGCAUUAUUUCUGGGGCAGGGGAAGGGUAGAGUUGACAGAGGGGCACAGGGAGCCUCCAGGGAGUUGGAAAUGAUCUACAUGAAAUGGCCAUGGCAGGAAUCAAUCAAACACGAAUCAGUCUCCCACCAAUGUAGCCAGUUAAACACCAGUUUUCUGAUUUAUAAAGAUGUAAAUAAAUAAGAUUUGGAAACUUCACUGUGUAUGGUUCACCUUAAACAUGAAAACUGAGCGUGCAGCAGGCAUCCCAUGGACUGCCUAUUUAGUCCUCACCAGUUCCCCACUCCAGCCAUGUACCCCAUCAGCUGGUUCCCAUCUCCCCAUCCUCAGCACCAGCCCACCUUCAAGUAUCUUCAGGGACUAGGUAAAGAAUGGUGUCUUGAAUU
RNAcentral lists this long non-coding RNA (696 nucleotides) under Marmota monax (woodchuck). Lineage: Eukaryota; Metazoa; Chordata; Mammalia; Rodentia; Sciuridae. The record is from RNAcentral.